UAUUGCUCUUGAACGAGGAAUCCCUAGUAAGCACAAGUCACUAGCUUGUGCUGAUUACGUCCCUGCCCUUUGUACACACCGCCCGUCGCUACUACCGAUUGAAUGGCUUAGUGAGGCCUUCGGAUUGAGUUUUGGGAACUGGCAACAGAUCCUGAUUUUUAAGAAGUUGGUCAAACUUGGUCAUUUAGAGGAAGUAAAAGUCGUAACAAGGUUUCCGUAGGUGAACCUGCGGAAGGAUCAUUACCAAUUUAGCGAACCUGGUCGCUUUUGACCGAGGUCUCGCAAAACCUGUAUUUAAAACCCACACUUUUUUUAAUAUAAGAUUAUCGUAUCAAUUAUGAUAAAAAAAAGAUCACUUUCAACAACGGAUCUCUUGGCUCUCGCAUCGAUGAAGAACGUAGCGAAGUGCGAUAAGUAAUGUGAAUUGCAGAAUUCCGUGAGUCAUCGAAUCUUUGAACGCAAAUUGCACUCCCUGGCAUUCCGGGGAGUAUGCCUGUUUGAGGGUCAGUUUAAAUAAAUAUCGUGGUGUUGCUUUUUUGUGACGCUUCGGAAUUGGGUUAUCUUGAUCCUCUGGGUUAAGUGACCUAAAAUUGAUGUAUCCUCUGUGCGUCUCGGACGUACAUAAGAAUUUUUUUUCCUAUCCGUCAGAGUUGCCAGGUCCUUAUUAGGUAUGAUCACGUUGCUUGUGAAAUCUGUACCUAUAAUGUAACUCAUAUUUUGACCUCAAAUCAGGUAGGAAUACCCGCUGAACUUAAGCAUAUCAAUAAGCGGAGGAAAAGAAAAUAACAAUGAUUCCCUUUAGUAACGGCGAGUGAAGGGGGAAAAGCUCAAAUUUUAAAUCGGUCAGGUUCUACCUGUUCGAGUUGUAAUUUGAAGAAGCGUUUUCCGCGUUCGGGUUGACCCAAAUCCUUUGGGAUAAGGUAUCAUGGAGGGUGAGAAUCCCGUCCGGUUGACCUUGAAACGCUCUACGAUACGCUUUCAAAGAGUCGAGCUGUUUGGGAAUGCAGCUCAAAAUGGGAGGUAAAUUUCUCCUAAGGCUAAAUACCGGCGAGAGACCGAUAGCGAACAAGUACCGUGAGGGAAGGAUGAAAAGAACUUUGAAAAGAGAGUUAAACAGUACGUGAAAUUGUUGAAAGGGAAACGAUUGAAGCCAGUCGUUCUGACGGAAAAUCAACUUUUCGGGUGCCUAUCGUGGGUGACGUUGAGCCUCACGGUCUUCGUUGCUUGUGUUUGUUGGUACCUUUGGAGUGCACUUUUUCGUAUGGUAGGUCAACAUCGAUUUUAAUCGUCAUAAAAUGAUCGGAGGAAUGUGGCUUCGAUUUCGAUUGGAGUGUUAUAGCCUUUGGUAGAUGUGACGAUUGGGAUCGAGGAUUGCAACGAAUACCCUUUGGGCUAUCCGUCUGGCCUCUGAAAGUCGCUUGGGUGCUGAAAGCUUUGCUUAUAGUAUUCAAGUUGGCGGUCAACAGGUUAGAAUGUGAUUACAUUCGUUAAGGAUGUUGACGUAAUGGCUUUAAACGACCCGUCUUGAAACACGGACCAAGGAGUCUAACAUAUGUGCGAGUGUU
RNAcentral lists this ribosomal RNA (1565 nucleotides) under uncultured Glomus. RNAcentral describes it as "eukaryotic LSU rRNA". The stretch from base 719 to 1565 matches the Rfam family "Eukaryotic large subunit ribosomal RNA", at positions 1 to 694 of the family's 3401-position model. The record is from RNAcentral. Lineage: Eukaryota; Fungi; Glomeromycota; Glomeromycetes; Glomerales; Glomeraceae.